CCUACGGGAGGCAGCAGUGGGGAAUAUUGGGCAAUGGGCGCAAGCCUGACCCAGCAACGCCGCGUGAAGGAAGAAGGCCCUCGGGUUUGUAACUUCUUUUUUUCGGGACGAAACAAAUGACGGUACCGAAUAAAUAAGCCUCCGCUAACUACGUGCCAGCAGUCACGGUAAUACGUAGGUUGCAAGCGUUAUCCGGAUUGACUGGGUGUAAAGGGCGUGUGGGCGGGAGAGCAAGUCAGACGUGAAAUUCCAGGGCUCAACCAUGGAACUGCGUUUGAAACUGGUCUUCUUGAGUGAGGGAGAGGCAGGCGGAAUUCCGGGUGUAGCGAUGAAAUGCGUAGAUAUACGGAGGAACACCAGUGGCGAAGGCGGCCUGCUGGACAUUAACUGACGCUGAGGCGCGAAAGCGUGGGGAGCAAACAGGAUUAGAUACCCCAGUAGUC
Molecule: ribosomal RNA, 443 nt
Filed under: uncultured bacterium
Lineage: Bacteria
Description: partial 16S ribosomal RNA
Rfam family: Bacterial small subunit ribosomal RNA
Source: RNAcentral